RNAcentral lists this ribosomal RNA (478 nucleotides) under uncultured bacterium. Its description in RNAcentral is "partial 16S ribosomal RNA". It matches the Rfam family "Bacterial small subunit ribosomal RNA", at positions 28 to 523 of the family's 1533-position model. The record is from RNAcentral.
GACGAACGCUGGCGGCGUGCUUAACACAUGCAAGUCGAACGGUAAGGCCCUUCGGGGUACACGAGUGGCGAACGGGUGAGUAACACGUGGGUGAUCUGCCCUGCACUUCGGGAUAAGCCUGGGAAACUGGGUCUAAUACCGGAUAGGACUCCGGACUGCAUGGUCUGGGGUGGCAAGCUUUUGCGGUGUGGGAUGGGCCCGCGGCCUGUCAGCUUGUGGGUGGGGUGAUGGCCUACCAAGGCGCCGACUGGUAGCCGGCCUGAGAGGGUGACCGGCCACACUGGGACUGAGAUACGGCCCAGACUCCUACGGGAGGCAGCAGUGGGGAAUAUUGCACAAUGGGCGCAAGCCUGAUGCAGCGACGCCGCGUGAGGGAUGACGGCCCUCGGGUUGUAAACCUCUUUCAGCAUCGACGAAGCGAAAGUGACGGUAGGUGCAGAAGAAGGACCGGCCAACUACGUGCCAGCCGCCGCCGUAA